This is a long non-coding RNA of Gossypium raimondii (Peruvian cotton), 2918 nucleotides long. RefSeq lists it as uncharacterized. The record is from RefSeq and is a predicted model, not a curated record. NCBI's taxonomy places the organism in Eukaryota, Viridiplantae, Streptophyta, Magnoliopsida, Malvales, Malvaceae. The transcript is spliced from 5 exons.
AAAAGAACACGCGCACAGUCAUACACACAAAAAAGGAGUGAGAGACGAUGUCGAGAUCUGGGAUGCUUCAGGUUCUACAACUGCCCCCAAGAUCUGUAAACCCAUUUCAGUUUCAUUCUGCCCUCUGCAAUACCCUUCAGGGGAAUUGAAGCUGUUGAUACAGUGAUGUCACCGCAGUCGGCUUUUGAGAACUCCGGUCCUGCCGUGGCACAUCUCAUUAUGGUGAGUCCAAGGAUUAUUUACAAUGGCAACCUUGAGACUCUGAAAACAAAUAGGGAGACUUAUGCACUCUCACAAACCAAAUAGAGAAGGUUGUGGCCUAAUGUUUGGGAGCAUCUUGAUAAGCUUGAAGUAAAUGGAAAGCAAGUGAUUGCAUGCAAAUAUUGUCACAAGUUGUUAAUAGGGCCAAGCAAAAGUGGAACCACACUUGAAAAACCAUUUGAAAAGAUGCUUAGAAAAGAAAAAGAAACAAAAUUAAGAAAUGAUGAAGCUGAUAUUUUCGGCUCAUGCUAAUGAAUGGGGCUCAAUGUUUGGUUAGUAAAUGAGUUACCUGGAUUUUACUUAAAUGAUCAUUAAGCAUCGAUAUUCAUAGAUAUGGUUGAACAAGAGUCUUUCAAAUUUUUUUUGUAAGAAUUGGCACCACAUGUUUGAGUUCCAAUCAAAAGCUAUCUUGGUAUUUGACAUGCAUUUGCUUGCCUUUAAGAAAGAUAUGUAUUAGAUAUAUUUUGAUUGAUUUGCUUGUAACUUGAAUAUGAUAGUUAGGAAGAACUAUCAUGGAAAGAUUGUGUUUUGUUGUUUGAUCAUUGAGAGCACAUUUUAUUCAUUAGGAUUGGAAACAAAAGAUGAAAAUUGUUAGUCUUCAAAAUUUCAGAGCAUAUCUAUGACACAAACUUUAAGUGGAAUUGUUAAGAGCUUGAUUUUGGAGUGAAAUAUAGUUGAAGUUUCUCCUUCUCUUUCUUAUAGAUGUGAUGUAUGUCUAUUAACAAAGUAUCUUUCGAUUGAAACUCAAACAUGGGUUGCAAAUUUUUCACAAAAUUAUUGAAAAUUUUUGGUUCAGCCAUAUCCAAUGGAUAUUGAAACUUAAUAAUCAUUUUCACAAAAUCCAAGCGAUUCCUUUUCUGAUCAAACAUUGAGCUUCUUUCAUUUGUGGUAGUUGAAUAUAUCAACUUCCUUUCUUGAUUUGUAUUUUUCUUUCUAGACAUCUUUCUCACUGUUUUUUCAAGCGUUCCACUCUUGCUUAACCCUGUUAACUUCUUAUGACUCUGGAGAUAAACACUAGAGGUGGUAUUUGCUCGUAAUGUAGCUAGGUUAUUUCCCUUCAACUUUAAUCGGCAAUGGGGUGUUAAACUUCGUCUAACGAUGUAAACUCUUAGCCAUUCCUGGGCCUGCAAAACAGGUAACUUUUUCACAAUCUAUACUAUAUUCCAGUUUUGAUCAUCCCUACAGGACGUGUUUUUGCUGUAUUAGAAUUUGACUACCUUUUGCUCGUGUUUAGAUCAUGGCAUUUACUCUUAUGUGCUGCAUAACACCUAGCUUUUUUCUCUUCUCUAUUAUAAUUGGGGGUGAUAAAUUAAGGUGGUCUGAUCAGUUAUCAAUACAGUCUCUUGCUAGUCUCCAGAGCAACAAGACUUCCCUAUUACCCGUGCUGCGAGGUGGUUCGGGCUCAAGGCAAUGUUUCUUGCCAUAAGAUGGAAAUUACAUUUUGUUUUUCAAUCUUCAUGUUUCUUUCUUAUAUUUUUAUACUUCAGAUAAAUAUGAUUAUGCUUUAGAAAGUUUGGUGCCACAAGGAAUGGUUGAUGAUUUAGCAGAUAAACCUACAUAUUGAAAUUGAUAAUCGGGACAUGGUAGUGGAUAGUCAACAUAAGGAAGUUGCCCAAGCAAAACUCCAAGUUAAUCCUGAGGUUGUGGAGUUCGACAUGUUGCAAAUGUCACGGGUUCUCUAAGGCAUCAAAAUAAAGUGGAAGCAAACUUGAGUGUUUACAUAUUCACCAGAUUAAGUAGAUGGGCCUUCAGUCUCUCCAAGUAAUGGGUUAGUCUUGUUGGGCCAAAUGAUCUCAAGUGAACAAGAUGGAUCAUCUAAGUGUGCUUUGGUCGCUGUUCUUUUGCGCGGCUUGUGACUUAAAGCAGAAGAUGAUUUCGUGAAAAAAGGUUGUUGCUAGCUGGAGCUGUACUAAGUUAAUUGCCACUAGGAAUGCAGCAAUGGAGCACAUUUGGUGAGUUUGACUUUGAUCGUGCCACGAGGGAGAGAGCUGAAAAACAAGAAAGUUCAUGGUAGAGGCUGGAUGUUUCGGAUUGUAGUGUCAGGUAUCUAGGAUCAAAGAAACCCAGAUGCUAAAUGCCUAUGCUGUAAAAUUACUUUUAUGUUCUUCAGACGACAAACAAUGAGAUCAACCGAUGCAGAAGAGCCAGCUUGCCCUUUCAACAAUAUCAAAGAAACAGUUUCCUAGCCUGUCUGGUGCUGAUGGAACCUGGUGUUUUUGUAAAGGCCGCGGAUCAAAGCUCGUAAUAAUUGUGCACAGAACGUUCAAUGGAUGUCAAUAGAAGCUUAUAAGCAUUGGUGGUCCAGUGAAAUAUUCAAUAAAACUAGAGUUACCAAGAUAAUUAAUGUAAAUAAUGUAAAUUUUAAGAGAUAAAGAUGAAUAGAGUUUAAAUCUUUUAGGACUCUUAUUUUGUAAGUAGGCACAAAUCUCGACAGUUGAUGUAACUGAAUCUAUAUUGUUGGUUUGGGAGGGGACCUCAAUUAUAAAUAGAGGCCUUCCCGCUCACUCGUAUUCACUCGGUUGUAAUCCUAGAGUUGUUUCAGUAAAAUUAGAGUUUAAAUUUUAAGAGAUGAAAAUGUAGAGUUUAAAUUCCUUAAAACUCUUAUCUUAUUGAUAGACAUAAAUCUCGAUUGUUGGUUUGGGGGAAGCUUAAUUUUU